UAGAGGGAAAGCCCGGGAAACGAGGAGCGACAGAACCCAGAGAGAAGCGGAAAGAUGCUAAGUCCGAACAAACUGUCGAAUAAGUUUAUGAAACAGUUUUAUUUACUGUUAUCAAUCGGGAGUUUAUACGAGUGUUUGCUCAUGUUGUUAAGAGUGUAACCGAGCGUGUUUUAGAAGUGAGGGCUCGUUACUGCCGCUAACUGAAGGCAAGGAUGGGAAUGUUUGCUAGCAGUUAGCAUCGCCAGUUACUAAUCAGGAGAAGCAGCGGACGAGGUUGGACAUUGGACGUUACCAGGAGCUGGUUCAGGACGGAGGACAGAACCGAGCCUCGGAACGGGUCUCCGGUCACGUCGCUGCCUCUGGGAAGAGGCUUUGGAGUAAAUUGCUGGAUCGCUUUUCCUGGUUCUGGUGUGAGUAUCCUGACUUGCAAGGUGGAUUUCUAUAUGAGCUCCAGGAUGCCUCCAUUACAGAAACAGAAUUUCAUUAGGCUUCUAUCAAAGAAAUCACAAGAGAGGUGCCAUGAUACCAGUCCAUAUGCUGCAGUGCGUUGGGAGCUUUGUUGCAGUAAUAUUUGCGUCUGAGACGCUGCGCCCACCUGAGCUCCACACCUUCUGGAUCAACCAACUUGAUCAGUUGUCAUAUUGUGCCUUGUGACACAACAUAUCCUCUCUGAGUUGCAGUGAGGUGUGCAAAAUGUCUCCAGAUGAUUCCAGCUCAGCUCCUCCAGUCACUGACCUUUGACCUUCCUGCUAACAUCUUAGCUUGUUAGCUCAUCUUUCUUUCACGCCCAUCACAUCUUAACGUAACGUCCUUACACCAACAGCAAGUGAAUGCAGCAUCAGCAGCCAAUGAGCAUCCGACAAAGAAGGUGACUGAGACCACUGACGGAUUAAAUUCAUCUUCUGAAACCAAACUUGUUCAUCAGGACCUCUCUGUCAUCCAGCAGACAACUGGAACGUGCAAUGUUCUGUCUUCAUGACUUUGAAUUUUUUUUUUGUAUCUUAUUCUACUUUAUAUUUAUUGUAAAAACAGACAUAAAACACAAUACAUAAACACAAACUAGUCAAAUAAGACAACCACUACUCCAGACCAUGGCAGGUUGAUGGCAUAUGAAACAAAGCACAUAACAGGACAAUUAAUCAUGUAGCAUAUUAAUGUAGCGCCCUGCUAAUUUGUUUAUAUAGUUUUGUUAUAUUUAUUUCAGUUGGUAAAGUGUUCUGAUGUGGGCCUUUAAAUGUGUUGCUGCUGUUAACAUUUGUAUGGUUAAUGUGACCAGUGAAACAGAAAUGUCUUAUGUUUUGAAAAGCCUUUGAACGCCUCAAGUUUCUCUGAAUUGGGUUCUCAUUUGUUUGGGCAGCUGUCAAUCAUUUUCUCUGUUGUUGGAGAUUAACCUGUCGGAUUGUUAGAGGGGCGGGACCAGAGGGAAAGCCCAUAACUUAAUGAAAGAGUUUUAUUUACUGUUAUCAACCAGGAGUUUAUACGAGUGUUUGCUCAUGUUGUUAAGAGUGUAACCGAGCGUGUUUUAGAAGUGAGGACUCGUUACUGCCGCUAACUGAAGACAAGGAUGGGAAUGUUUGCUAGCGGUUAGCAUCGCCAGUUGCUAAUCAGGAGACAGCAGAGGAGGAGGUUGGACAUUGGACAUUUCCAGGCGCUGGUUCAGGACGGAGGAGUUGUGGACUGGACCGAGCCUCUGGGCGGGUCUCUGGUCAGGUCGCUGCCUCUGGGAAGAGGUUCUGGAGUAGAUUGCUGGAUCACUUUUCCUGGUUCUGGUGUGAGUAUCCUGACCUGCAGGUUCAAGGUGGAUUUCUAUAUGGAUGCCUCCAUCACAGGAAAUUACUGCUCACAGAAUUUGUGCCAUGACAGACGGUUUAUCUCCAAACUGCAGUGAGGUGUGCAAAAUGUCUCCAGAUGAUUCCAGCUCAGCUCCUCCAGUCACUGACCUUUGACCUUCCUGCUAACAUCUUAGCUUGUUAGCUCAUCUUUCUUUCACGCCCAUCACAUCUUAACGUAACGUCCUUACACCACCAGCAAUUGAAUGCAGCAUCAGCAGCCAAUGAGCAGCUGACAAAGAAGGGGGCGGGACCGCUGACGGAUUAAAUUCAUCUUCUGGAACUUGUUUCAUCAGAACCUCUCAGCCUGUGAACCCACCAACACCAUCAGAACCGACACCUCUGUGUGGCUGUACAGUGUGUGUG
This is a long non-coding RNA of Acanthopagrus latus (yellowfin seabream), 2195 nucleotides long. RefSeq lists it as uncharacterized. The transcript is spliced from 6 exons. Lineage: Eukaryota; Metazoa; Chordata; Actinopteri; Spariformes; Sparidae. The record is from RefSeq and is a predicted model, not a curated record.